AACGAACGCUGGCGGCAUGCCUAACACAUGCAAGUCGAACGAGACCUUCGGGUCUAGUGGCGCACGGGUGCGUAACGCGUGGGAACCUGCCCUUAGGUUCGGCAUAACUCCCCGAAAGGGGUGCUAAUACCGGAUAAUGUCUUCGGACCAAAGAUUUAUCGCCUUUGGAUGGGCCCGCGUUGGAUUAGCUAGUUGGUAGGGUAAAAGCCUACCAAGGCGACGAUACAUAGCUGGUCUGAGAGGAUGAGCAGCCACACUGGGACUGAGACACGGCCCAGACUCCUACGGGAGGCAGCAGUGGGGAAUAUUGGAAAAUGGGCGAAAGCCUGAUCCAGCAAUGACGCGUGAGUGAUGAAGGCCUUAGGGUUGUAAAGCUCUUUUACCCGGGAUGAUAAUGACAGUACCGGGAGAAUAAGCUCCGGCUAACUCCGUG
Molecule: ribosomal RNA, 433 nt
Filed under: uncultured bacterium
Lineage: Bacteria
Description: partial 16S ribosomal RNA
Rfam family: Bacterial small subunit ribosomal RNA
Source: RNAcentral